This 485-nucleotide ribosomal RNA is filed under the name uncultured bacterium. RNAcentral's name for it is "bacterial SSU rRNA". It matches the Rfam family "Bacterial small subunit ribosomal RNA", at positions 28 to 507 of the family's 1533-position model. The record is from RNAcentral.
AUUGAACGCUGGCGGCAUGCUUUACACAUGCAAGUCGAGCGGCAGCGCGGGGGCAACCCUGGCGGCGAGCGGCGAACGGGUGAGUAAUGCAUCGGAACGUGUCCGGGAGUGGGGGAUAACCCGCCGAAAGGCGGGCUAAUACCGCAUAUGCUCUUUGGAGGAAAGGGGGGGACCGCAAGGCCUCCCGCUUUCGGAGCGGCCGAUGCCCGAUUAGCUAGUUGGUGGGGUAAUGGCUUACCAAGGCGACGAUCGGUAGCUGGUCUGAGAGGAUGAUCAGCCACACUGGGACUGAGACACGGCCCAGACUCCUACGGGAGGCAGCAGUGGGGAAUUUUGGACAAUGGGGGGCAACCCUGAUCCAGCCAUGCCGCGUGCGGGAAGAAGGCCUUCGGGUUGUAAACCGCUUUUAGCCGGGAAGAAAAGGCAGGGGCUAACACUCUCUGUUCUUGACGGUACCGGCGGAAUAAGCACCGGCUAACUACGUG